GGGGGAAAUUGAAUAAAAUAAGCGGUGGGUUGUAGAGUUGGUGAGUGCCGACGGCCGACGCUGUCAACUUCGGUUUAUUAAAGCAAAAAGACCAAGGGGGGGGAGAUGCCUCGGGGGUUCAAGAAGUGAAACGUGGUCUAUUUGUUUGACACGUGUAAAACCUCUUAAUUACGUAGAUCUCUGCGGUGGCACCUGAGAUGAAUUGAUUUAAUAAGAGUAAUCUGUAAAAUAGAAAUGAAAAGAGGAAAUAAAAAGAAAAGUGGUGGGAGGUGGUACCCAGAGGGCAGUGAAACGUGUGGGUGAGGUGGGGAGGAGUG
RNAcentral lists this long non-coding RNA (317 nucleotides) under Cucumis sativus (cucumber). RNAcentral's name for it is "long non-coding RNA (CSAT_LNC001320)". Lineage: Eukaryota; Viridiplantae; Streptophyta; Magnoliopsida; Cucurbitales; Cucurbitaceae. The record is from RNAcentral.